Molecule: ribosomal RNA, 845 nt
Filed under: uncultured bacterium
Lineage: Bacteria
Description: bacterial SSU rRNA
Rfam family: Bacterial small subunit ribosomal RNA
Source: RNAcentral
CGUAAAGCGCGCGCAGGCGGCUAUUUAAGUUGGAUGUGAAAGCCUACGGCUCAACCGUAGAACUGCAUCCAAAACUAUUUAGCUAGAGUGUGGGAGAGGAAGAUGGAAUUAGUUGUGUAGGGGUAAAAUCCGUAGAGAUAACUAGGAAUACCAAAAGCGAAGGCAAUCUUCUGGAACACUACUGACGCUGAGGCGCGAAAGCGUGGGGAGCAAACAGGAUUAGAUACCCUGGUAGUCCACGCAGUAAACGAUGAAUGUUAGUCGUCGGGGGCCUCGUGUCUUCGGUGAUGCAGCUAACGCAUUAAACAUUCCGCCUGGGGAGUACGGUCGCAAGAUUAAAACUCAAAGGAAUAGACGGGGACCCGCACAAGUGGUGGAGCAUGUGGUUUAAUUCGAAGAUACGCGAAGAACCUUACCUAGCCUUGACAUAUAUUAGAAUCCACCAGAGAUGGAGGAGUGCCUUCGGGAGCUUUUAUACGGGUGCUGCACGGCUGUCGUCAGCUCGUGUCGUGAGAUGUUGGGUUAAGUCCCGCAACGAGCGCAACCCUCGUCACUAGUUACUAACGGUUCGCCGAGGACUCUAGUGAGACUGCCUUCGUAAGGAGGAGGAAGGUGAGGACGACGUCAAGUCAUCAUGGCCCUUACGGCUAGGGCAACACACGUGCUACAAUGGCCAGGACAGUGAGACGCGAUACCGCGAGGUGGAGCAAAUCUAUAAACCUGGUCUCAGUUCGGAUUGUAGUCUGCAACUCGACUACAUGAAGCUGGAAUCACUAGUAAUCGUAGAUCAGCUAUGCUACGGUGAAUACGUUCCCGGGUCUUGUACUCACCGCCCGUCACACCAU